GACGAACGCUGGCGGCGUGCUUAACACAUGCAAGUCGAACGGAGAGGCCCUGCUUUUGUGGGGUGCUCGAGUGGCGAACGGGUGAGUAACACGUGAGUAACCUGCCCUUGACUUUGGGAUAACUUCAGGAAACUGGGGCUAAUACCGGAUAGGAGCUCCUGCUGCAUGGUGGGGGUUGGAAAGUUUCGGCGGUUGGGGAUGGACUCGCGGCUUAUCAGCUUGUUGGUGGGGUAGUGGCUUACCAAGGCUUUGACGGGUAGCCGGCCUGAGAGGGUGACCGGCCACAUUGGGACUGAGAUACGGCCCAGACUCCUACGGGAGGCAGCAGUGGGGAAUAUUGCACAAUGGGCGGAAGACUGAUGCAGCAACGCCGCGUGCGGGAUAACGGCCUUCGGGUUGUAAACCGCUUUCGCCUGUGACGAAGCGUGAGUGACGGUAAUGGGUAAAGAAGCACCGGCUAACUACGUG
RNAcentral lists this ribosomal RNA (468 nucleotides) under uncultured bacterium. RNAcentral's name for it is "partial 16S ribosomal RNA". It matches the Rfam family "Bacterial small subunit ribosomal RNA", at positions 28 to 507 of the family's 1533-position model. The record is from RNAcentral.